UACGGAGGGUGCAAGCGUUAUCCGGAUUCACUGGGUUUAAAGGGUGCGUAGGUGGGCAGGUAAGUCAGUGGUGAAAUCUCCGGGCUUAACCCGGAAACUGCCAUUGAUACUAUCAGUCUUGAAUACCGUGGAGGUAAGCGGAAUAUGUCAUGUAGCGGUGAAAUGCUUAGAUAUGACAUAGAACACCAAUUGCGAAGGCAGCUUACUAGCCGAAUAUUGACACUGAGGCACGAAGGCGUGGGGAUCAAACAGG
This 253-nucleotide ribosomal RNA is filed under the name uncultured bacterium. Its description in RNAcentral is "partial 16S ribosomal RNA". It matches the Rfam family "Bacterial small subunit ribosomal RNA", at positions 524 to 776 of the family's 1533-position model. The record is from RNAcentral.